This 484-nucleotide ribosomal RNA is filed under the name uncultured bacterium. RNAcentral describes it as "bacterial SSU rRNA". It matches the Rfam family "Bacterial small subunit ribosomal RNA", at positions 28 to 526 of the family's 1533-position model. The record is from RNAcentral.
GACGAACGCUGGCGGCGUGCUUAACACAUGCAAGUCGAGCGGUAAGGCCCUUUCGGGGGUACACGAGCGGCGAACGGGUGAGUAACACGUGAGCAAUCUGCCCUUCACUUUGGGAUAAGCACCGGAAACGGUGUCUAAUACCGAAUAUGACCACUUCACGCAUGUGAUGGUGGUGGAAAGUUCCGGCGGUGGAGGAUGAGCUCGCGGCCUAUCAGCUUGUUGGUGGGGUAAUGGCCUACCAAGGCUUCGACGGGUAGCCGGCCUGAGAGGGUGACCGGCCACACUGGGACUGAGACACGGCCCAGACUCCUACGGGAGGCAGCAGUGGGGAAUAUUGGACAAUGGGCGAAAGCCUGAUCCAGCAACGCCGCGUGAGGGAUGACUGCCUUCGGGUUGUAAACCUCUUUCAGCAGGGACGAAGCGCAAGUGACGGUACCUGCAGAAGAAGCACCGGCCAACUACGUGCCAGCCGCCGCAGUAACAC